RNAcentral lists this long non-coding RNA (472 nucleotides) under Physcomitrium patens. RNAcentral's name for it is "long non-coding RNA (PPAT_LNC011184)". Lineage: Eukaryota; Viridiplantae; Streptophyta; Bryopsida; Funariales; Funariaceae. The record is from RNAcentral.
AUCUUGAAUAACCUUAUUAGGCCUAUAAAUUUUUGAAAUUGUAGUCCACUUGAACUUCAAUAAUCUCUAAUCCAACAAUUUGAUUAAGCUAAAAUUUACAAUAUACAUUUAGCAAAACUAUACACACAAUCCUAUAAAAUUUUACUCACAAAAUUAUUCAAAGUAUAAAUCCUAUUUGAUUUUAUAAAAUUCAAAGUCAUUCAAAACAACCAUGUUUUUAUAAAGCUCUUAUAAAGUCAUUGUAUAUUCAAAUUAUUUGAAACCAAUGCUUUAAAAAAUCUUAUAAAGUCUUCUGCUAAAUUCCAUUUUUUGAUUUUCCAAAGAAUCCUAGAAUCACCAUAGGUACAAAGUUUUGUACCUCAAGCUCUAAUUUCAAUCCAAGUUAACAACUGAACUUCUUUGGAUAUCAAUUUUUAGUAAUUUGGAAUAAAUUUUACUUUAUCCUCUUUUUAAUUCUCUUCUAAAUAUGUUU